CAUUUUUUAAAAUGCAUUCUGUUUGAAUUUUAAUGCAGAUUGUUUUUUGAAUCUGCCCCUGAUCAACCUUUGAGGUGUUCAGCCGAGAUUAGUAUUUGUUGUGACUUCCCUGAUGUCCUUAUUUGCUUGUGUUACUUUCACUGUGCUGCCAGCAAAGCGCCCAGUUUGCCCCUUCCUCUAUCGUUUUCGUUUAGAGUAGGAGCCUCACUGAAGAGGGUGCGAGCGAGAGGGGGGAAAAAAGAGGAAGGAAGUGGAGACACCGUGAGAAGAGCAAAGCCUAGAGCUGUAGCUACAGUAGCUAACAUGGCUUUUUGAUUCAUCAUUCUCCACCUGAGGACGCUGCUUGGAUUGUAUCCAUUCUGCUGCUUAUUUCCUUCAGCCUUUGAAUUACGGCUCCCUUAGCCUGCUGGUCUUGCUGGCAAUGACUCCUUGGCAUAAAACGGAUAAGAAGAUUGGAGUGGCAAUAUACAAUUUCAGAGCUGUAAGAGUGCCACAGUUAUCCCUGCAUAUUGGUGAUGUAGUCCACAUAUUGGAAGAUUGUGAAGAUUGGUACAAAGGAUAUCUUGUAAGACAUAAAGGAAUAGAGGUGAGUUCAUGUUUAUUGCCAUUAUCAUAUUUAUCUCUUCUGUAACUUGAUAUUUUAACAGCUGGUCAUUUCCUUUAAAAACUUAUGGCAGUUAAGCCUGAGAAGUUCAGCGACUUACAGCAGAAGCCUAUGUAUGCAUCUGAGACACAUAGGUUUGUGGGCCGACUCUGUCUGGGUGGGUAGUAUCUCAGCGGGGAAAUGAAUGGAUUUGGAUCUGCCCUAUGUUUUAUUAUGACAGAAAAAUAUGAAGCUGUUUCUGCAAAGCAGAUGUAACCAAAACCAAUUUCUGUGGCCACAUCCAGGUAGUUAUAUGAGCUCAAAUGUCAUAGACUUAUGUUUGUUUGUUUGUUUAUUUAUUUAUUUGAUUUGAUUCGAUUCGAUUUGUAUCCUGCCCAUCUGGUCUAUACGACCACUCUAGGUGGCUUCCAAGAUAACGUAGACAACUAAUAAAAUAACACAAAAAUAUUACA
RNAcentral lists this long non-coding RNA (1056 nucleotides) under Pogona vitticeps (central bearded dragon). RNAcentral's name for it is "lncRNA (ENSPVIG00000021705.1)". The record is from RNAcentral. Lineage: Eukaryota; Metazoa; Chordata; Lepidosauria; Squamata; Agamidae.